UCUGCUUCUGUGACCUGUGUUUAGUUUACUAUGAGAUGUUUCUCCUUGGAAUCAAGCUGUAAUCUGUCUGGUUGUUGUUUCAGAAUUUGAGUCCAACAAAGACUGCAGAACAGUCCAGCUCUUCAAGUAUCUUCCACAAACAAUAUGGUGUCUAAAUUUAGCAAAGACUGGGCCACACACAGAGCUAGAGGAACCUCUGAGGCGUUAUUGUUCAAUUUUCAUUUGAUACGUUUUAUCUUCUCAAGGGAGGGAAGGAUGAGAUUCACAGGCGGAAAUGUCCAGCGAAUGCAGUCACUCUUCCUUGGGAGAUAUUCUAGGCAUGUCCCACUGAGACAAGACCCCAGGGAUAACCCAGGAUGUGGUGAAGAGACUGGGUCUCAUGGUUGGCCCUUAGAUCAACGUGGAUUUCUCUCAGCAGAACUGGAGGAGGUUUCUGUGAAGAGGGUGGUCCAGAUGAGCAGAGGAAGAUGGAUGGGAUGUCAGAAUAUUCUCCCACCCUCCAAUGAUGAAGAUGCUCCAAAGGUUCUGAAUAGGGUUGAUGUCAGGGGAGGAUGGGGGCCACACCAUCAGUUUAUCUCCUUUUCUGUCCAUAGCAGCCAAUGAUGCAGAGAAGAAGGUGGUCAGUCAGAAACUCCACCUACUUUUCAGAGGACAUGACUCUACCACCUCCAUGCUGAUGUCACAGCCUUGUUGGGACGUGGUGGCCAAAAUCCACCAACCAUCCAUUGGAUUAUCUGGAUCAUCCAGGGUUUCAUGGCACUCAUCAGUGGACUGUUUGAAAAUGAGUCUUCAUGCAUGUCUGGGUCCACUGCAGCCGUUUCUGUUUGGGACUGUUGUUUAGGGGUUAGAAGGUUUAGGUAGAACUGCAGUCCUCUGGAGGAUCCUCCACCUUGAUGUUGGUGGGACUCCAGAGACUCCAGCAGCUUCAAACAUGUGCUUGCUGCUUUGUAAUGCUAUUUCAGCAGCUGCUCUCUCAAUCUGAUGGAUCUGUCUGGUAGAAACCUUCCUCAUUCUGUCUUUAUCUGCACCAACCCGUGUGUCUCUGAAUCAGCCACAAAUCUCUUCAUAGUACGAUAAUCACGCUGAAGUUUCAGUCAAAUAUCAAAGGUUUUUAUACCUUGUUUAAGGCAUUUAACUACUUCAUGCUUUUCAGCAGCAGAGAUCCUUUUUCUUUCCCAUAUUACUUGAAAAUAUUGGUCUGUUUACUAAUGUGGAACAUCCUUCUUUAGUAGUUUUUAUUUUAAUUGAACUCACCUGUCAAACUAAUAAUUAAAGAUGUCUGAGAUUAAUGUCAGUGACCCAAAGACACCAGAGACACAAUAUCAUCCAUGAGUUUAAUUGAAAAACUGAAAAUGAUUUAAUCUUUUUGAUAUUUAAAUCCAAUUUGCAUAAUAAUUUGAAACACAGUAUAUUUGUGUAAACCUCUUUUGCAUUUGAGACUAAACUUUAUUCAUGUUAAUUAUGUUUGUAUACAUUUCUUGUUGCCUUGAACGGAAUAAAGGAGUGAGUAGGAUGUUAGGAAUUGGUUACAAAAUUAAAGGGGGGUAAGGAAGUUCAAAGAUGAAUAAAAAGUAGGAGGGGUAGAAACACAAUUAUUAUAACUGUCAGGUGUAGCUAUUAUUCCAAAGGGCGGGGACUGUCCAAAGUCACUCAAACAUCAUGUUACCAUGUACAAUAUAGCUGACAAGCAUAUUCUUAUGCAUACAAAAAAACACAUGUAAAGCAUAAAUCAUUUUCUCCACUCAUUGGCUCGCUCCCUGGGACAGAUAAUAAGCGGCCCCACCUUUCUUGAGCACACUUUAAAGGGCUCACAGUUUGGAUGCCUAUAAGAUGAGGUGAUUUCACAAUGACUUGAUGAACUGGGGUUGACUUACUCAGCAAGUGACCAACUGGUCAAGUACCAUCCAGUUAAUGAAGGCAGCCAGAGAGUAGAGGGUUCAGGUGAGGAUGCUGGUGCAGCACAACACAAAAUUAACCCCAGCAGAUCACUAGUUUGUAAGUACUGAGGAUGAACCCCACAAUAUCAAAGUGGAAAGACAGCCAAUUAUCCCUUUACCACAGCAGAGGAAGAUUCCCACUGUGGAAAACAUGCUGCAGUGGUGGGGGUUGACUCCUUUGUUUGGCUAAGUCAGAGAGUUUUCUUUCUCCUCUGCUGAAAAGGCUGUUACACCACAGCACCACGCCUUUGGCAGCUCUCAUUUUAUUUCAUGUAAACUUGUAUCCUAAAGCAACUCCUUCUGAGCAAGACUAAAAGUAGACCAACAGGAUAUAGCGAGUUUCUGUAUAUUUCCCAGCAUGAUGCUUGAGGUUUUAUUGAUGACAGGGUUUAAACUCUACAAGAGUCUAAGUUGCUGUUUGUUUGCUCUGUUGUAGAAAGCACCAGGUGUUGCAAUCCGUAACAUUUACCACUUUAACUUCAGGAGCUCUUGAGGUUCUCAGACUUCCAUUAUUUUUUGUCUGCGAGACACAUAAUCAGUUGUGUAACUCAACAUCUUGGGGUGUUUCGGCCAUUUAUCACUAUACACCCUCCGCUGAGGUAGGCCCAUCACAGGUUGAUCAAGCCUGGGUGUGUGUCUCGCUGUUAGUUGGUCAUUUUUGUCCAUGUAAUGUCACUUCUACUCAGCCAUGGCCAAUGGCUCGUCCUCUCAGCCGUGUUGGUCAGUUCUUUGAUAGCCUGUCUGUGUGCCCGUCCUCUGGGUCCAACUUCUCUGAGGAGCUAAGCAGUUGUCCUGGUGACAAAGCUCCUGCAUCCCACCUCCACUGGGCACACCCUGGUAUUACAGCCUCUGUCCUCUGCCUCAGCUGCUAAGUUGGAACAGCGUAGUUUCUUUCGCUCGUAAGCUUCGUCAAAGGAGUCCUCCCAGGGAACUGUCAGCUCUAUGAUGUAGGCAAGUCACCACAAAUUAGACCAGAGGACAAAGUCUGGAUGCAAAGUGGUUGCUGCAAUCUCCGAAGGGAAGAUAAGCCUCUGGUUUAAGUCGACUCGCAUUUGCCAGUCCCUGGCUGCAUUCAGAGGGGUUAGUUCAGAGUGGGAGGGAUUACCGGACUCCUUGGCUUCUCCCAUUCCCGGACAAAUGGUGGUGGCUGCUGAUGGGUUGGGCAUUGAUAAACACCUUCUUGCACUCAAGUGUAAUGGCAAGACAUCUCAAGACCUGGUUGUGUCUCCAUGUAUAUCUGCCUUGCGUGAGGCUGGUCCAGCCAAUAAGAUGUGCUUUAAUGUUGCAGUUGCAGAAGGAUCUUUCCCAAGCCAAAGCUGCAGGUUUGUGGGAGAGGGCAGCACAGCGUAGGUGACUUGAACAUUGUUGCUCAGCCUAUUUGAUUCCAUGCUCCAAAGUUUGCUCCAUGUAAGUUUCCUCCUUUCAACUCCCUCCCACCUUACCCAUCGGCCCUGUUUUGCUUGCGUGACGGCUUUGGAGCAUCUGCCUACUUCUUUUAGUUGGUGCACCUCCUCUAUCACCAUGGUUCGACGUUCUGCAGCAUUGCUACAGCAAGGGUCCACUUCUUCCCGGUUGCUAGGACUGGAACUGCACUUCUCAUUACUGGUCCUCGGGAGUCGGAGAGUGACGUGUCAAGCCUCACCUUGGUGCAUUUAAAUUCCUCAACCAGGCUAGAGACUGGUUGUUACAAGACUCAAUCAUUGUAAUGUGUCUAAAACAAGUGAGCAUAACACCUCACCUCAUGGCAAAAAGGCCUUGGUUUGAAUCCCUGGAGUAAGCAUGUUCUCCUUGUGUAUGUAAUUUUUCGCACUCCGUUUUUAUGUUACGAUUCUUAACUGUCUGUUAGUGGUGAGUGUGGAUGUGAGAGUGUGUUUGUGUGGUUGUGUAUCUUUUGUGUGGCCCUGCAAUGAACUGUCCAGGGUGUACCUGUCUUGGCCCAACAAUAGGGUAUGCCUCUAUGACCCUGAACGAACCAAGUGAGUUUAGAAAAUGAAUAAAUUGAUCUACUGGGUCAUUGACCUGGGAUGCAAACAUGAGUUUUCAUUAAAAUACAUUGUUUCCCUUGUGCCAGUCCUACACACAGCCAACAGAACCAUCCAACCGCUAGUGGUGCAAGAAAAAAUGGUGAGCAAUAUUGUAGCUAUCCAGAUGUA
Long non-coding RNA from Oryzias latipes (Japanese medaka), 4090 nucleotides. RefSeq lists it as uncharacterized. NCBI's taxonomy places the organism in Eukaryota, Metazoa, Chordata, Actinopteri, Beloniformes, Adrianichthyidae. The record is from RefSeq and is a predicted model, not a curated record.